This 345-nucleotide unclassified non-coding RNA is filed under the name Hevea brasiliensis (rubber tree). Lineage: Eukaryota; Viridiplantae; Streptophyta; Magnoliopsida; Malpighiales; Euphorbiaceae. The record is from RNAcentral.
GAUGAACUUGACUAUUGUCACAAGCUCCUUGAGGAAGAUGUUUUUAAUAAUUCUGCAUGGAAUCAGAGAUACUUUGUCAUAACCAGAUCUCCCUUACUGGGUGGCCUAAAAGCCAUGAGAGAGUCUGAAGUGAGUUAUACUGUUGAAGCGAUUCUUGCGCAUCCUGAAAACGAGAGUUCUUGGAGAUAUCUGCGCGGACUUUAUGCGGGUGACACACAGUCAUGGAUUAGUGCUCCUCAAGUUUCUUCUGUCUGCUUGAAAGUUUUGAGCGGAAAAAGUAACUUUGUAUUUGCUUUGAGCACCCUGUUGGAUCUUCUCUGCCAUGGUUUCCAAUCAAGCCAAGAG